GUAUUUACCUGGACGGGAAACACGAUGACCAGGAACAUGGUUUUCUCGGGAGGAGUGUCUUCCAUUACACUACAGAUGUCCUGACCUCACAAAUGGCCCCAAAUUUGAGACUGCAGAAUUGAUGGUUGUGGGGGAUUUUGCGUUUCCCGCA
Molecule: small nuclear RNA, 151 nt
Filed under: Microtus ochrogaster (prairie vole)
Lineage: Eukaryota; Metazoa; Chordata; Mammalia; Rodentia; Cricetidae
Description: U1 spliceosomal RNA (ENSMOCG00000003571.1)
Rfam family: U1 spliceosomal RNA
About the family: U1 is a small nuclear RNA (snRNA) component of the spliceosome (involved in pre-mRNA splicing). Its 5' end forms complementary base pairs with the 5' splice junction, thus defining the 5' donor site of an intron. There are significant differences in sequence and secondary structure between metazoan and yeast U1 snRNAs, the latter being much longer (568 nucleotides as compared to 164 nucleotides in human).
Source: RNAcentral